Molecule: ribosomal RNA, 1289 nt
Filed under: Vibrio parahaemolyticus
Lineage: Bacteria; Pseudomonadati; Pseudomonadota; Gammaproteobacteria; Vibrionales; Vibrionaceae
Description: bacterial SSU rRNA
Rfam family: Bacterial small subunit ribosomal RNA
Source: RNAcentral
GUCGAGCGGCGGACGGGUGAGUAAUGCCUAGGAAAUUGCCCUGAUGUGGGGGAUAACCAUUGGAAACGAUGGCUAAUACCGCAUGAUGCCUACGGGCCAAAGAGGGGGACCUUCGGGCCUCUCGCGUCAGGAUAUGCCUAGGUGGGAUUAGCUAGUUGGUGAGGUAAGGGCUCACCAAGGCGACGAUCCCUAGCUGGUCUGAGAGGAUGAUCAGCCACACUGGAACUGAGACACGGUCCAGACUCCUACGGGAGGCAGCAGUGGGGAAUAUUGCACAAUGGGCGCAAGCCUGAUGCAGCCAUGCCGCGUGUGUGAAGAAGGCCUUCGGGUUGUAAAGCACUUUCAGUCGUGAGGAAGGUAGUGUAGUUAAUAGCUGCAUUAUUUGACGUUAGCGACAGAAGAAGCACCGGCUAACUCCGUGCCAGCAGCCGCGGUAAUACGGAGGGUGCGAGCGUUAAUCGGAAUUACUGGGCGUAAAGCGCAUGCAGGUGGUUUGUUAAGUCAGAUGUGAAAGCCCGGGGCUCAACCUCGGAAUUGCAUUUGAAACUGGCAGACUAGAGUACUGUAGAGGGGGGUAGAAUUUCAGGUGUAGCGGUGAAAUGCGUAGAGAUCUGAAGGAAUACCGGUGGCGAAGGCGGCCCCCUGGACAGAUACUGACACUCAGAUGCGAAAGCGUGGGGAGCAAACAGGAUUAGAUACCCUGGUAGUCCACGCCGUAAACGAUGUCUACUUGGAGGUUGUGGCCUUGAGCCGUGGCUUUCGGAGCUAACGCGUUAAGUAGACCGCCUGGGGAGUACGGUCGCAAGAUUAAAACUCAAAUGAAUUGACGGGGGCCCGCACAAGCGGUGGAGCAUGUGGUUUAAUUCGAUGCAACGCGAAGAACCUUACCUACUCUUGACAUCCAGAGAACUUUCCAGAGAUGGAUUGGUGCCUUCGGGAACUCUGAGACAGGUGCUGCAUGGCUGUCGUCAGCUCGUGUUGUGAAAUGUUGGGUUAAGUCCCGCAACGAGCGCAACCCUUAUCCUUGUUUGCCAGCGAGUAAUGUCGGGAACUCCAGGGAGACUGCCGGUGAUAAACCGGAGGAAGGUGGGGACGACGUCAAGUCAUCAUGGCCCUUACGAGUAGGGCUACACACGUGCUACAAUGGCGCAUACAGAGGGCAGCCAACUUGCGAAAGUGAGCGAAUCCCAAAAAGUGCGUCGUAGUCCGGAUUGGAGUCUGCAACUCGACUCCAUGAAGUCGGAAUCGCUAGUAAUCGUGGAUCAGAAUGCCACGGUGAAUACGUUCCC